Molecule: transfer RNA, 71 nt
Filed under: Ilumatobacteraceae bacterium
Lineage: Bacteria; Bacillati; Actinomycetota; Acidimicrobiia; Acidimicrobiales; Ilumatobacteraceae
Also listed under: 1 other name
Description: tRNA-Gln
Rfam family: tRNA
About the family: Transfer RNA (tRNA) molecules are approximately 80 nucleotides in length. Their secondary structure includes four short double-helical elements and three loops (D, anti-codon, and T loops). Further hydrogen bonds mediate the characteristic L-shaped molecular structure. tRNAs have two regions of fundamental functional importance: the anti-codon, which is responsible for specific mRNA codon recognition, and the 3' end, to which the tRNAs corresponding amino acid is attached (by aminoacyl-tRNA synthetases). tRNAs cope with the degeneracy of the genetic code in two manners: having more than one tRNA (with a specific anti-codon) for a particular amino acid; and 'wobble' base-pairing, i.e. permitting non-standard base-pairing at the 3rd anti-codon position.
Source: RNAcentral
UCCGGGGUCGUUCAAUGGUAGGACAACGGGUUUUGAUCCCGUGUAUAGGGGUUCGAGUCCUCUCCCCGGAG